Molecule: long non-coding RNA, 532 nt
Filed under: Ananas comosus (pineapple)
Lineage: Eukaryota; Viridiplantae; Streptophyta; Magnoliopsida; Poales; Bromeliaceae
Description: long non-coding RNA (ACOM_LNC040476)
Source: RNAcentral
GAGUUUGACUGGGCUACUAUCGGUAAUAAACUGCUCGGUUUACUACUGAUUUGUUUUUAAUGAUAGAGCUUCCAAAUCGACGAUCGGCACCGUUGAACAUAAUCUAGACCAUUUAAAUUAUCUAGAAAUCAAAUUUCACGAUUUUUUUGCAUCACUAACUGAACGAUCAAAGGGUCACAAAAUCUAUAAUUUUAAUGGCCGAUAUAGUGCGUUUGCUCGUUUAACGGUAUAGAUGAGUUCAAAUCAACUAAAUUUUUGUUAAAAAAUUCUUUAAACUAUUUAAAAUAAGAUCUAGACUAUAGAUCUCAAAUAUAAAAAUUGUAUCAUCACUUUUUGAAGAAUAUUCAUUUCCAUCCAUUUAUUUUUCUGUUCACUUGAUGGACAAAAGAACAAUAUCGAAAAUGUGUGAAAUUUCAUUUCCAAAUAGUUUAAAUAGUUUAGAUCAUGUUUAAUGGUGCCGAUCAUCAAUUUGGAAGCUCUAUCAUCGAAAAUAAAUCGGUAGUAAACCGAGCCGUUUACUACCGAUAGUAUU